Caenorhabditis elegans is the source of this 21-nucleotide non-coding RNA. NCBI's taxonomy places the organism in Eukaryota, Metazoa, Nematoda, Chromadorea, Rhabditida, Rhabditidae. The record is from Ensembl.
UAUUACAAGUUUGAUUUUGUA